This 218-nucleotide ribosomal RNA is filed under the name uncultured bacterium. RNAcentral describes it as "partial 16S ribosomal RNA". It matches the Rfam family "Bacterial small subunit ribosomal RNA", at positions 130 to 334 of the family's 1533-position model. The record is from RNAcentral.
CCUAGAGGGGGACAACAGUGGAAACGAACUGCUAAUACCGCAUACGAUCUAAUCUCGGCAUCGAGGAUAGAUGAAAGGUGGCCUCUACAUGUAAGCUAUCACUGAAGGAGGGGAUUGCGUCUGAUUAGCUAGUUGGAGGGGUAACGGCCCACCAAGGCGAUGAUCAGUAGCCGGUCUGAGAGGAUGAACGGCCACAUUGGGACUGAGACACGGCCCAG